Rattus norvegicus (Norway rat) is the source of this 1972-nucleotide long non-coding RNA. RefSeq lists it as uncharacterized. NCBI's taxonomy places the organism in Eukaryota, Metazoa, Chordata, Mammalia, Rodentia, Muridae. The record is from RefSeq and is a predicted model, not a curated record.
GGUCCUACACCUCAGUGCCCCAGAUAUCUGCUAGAUAUCUUGGCGGAAACACAGCCCAGCCACACACUUUCUUACACUCAAACUCUCACAUAAAAGAACACACAACUCAAUAAUCUUAGAUCCAAUUGGUAAGAUAUAAUUGCCCACUUAAACAUACAAAGCCCAGUACCAUCUAUCCCUUGCACCUUCUAUUUGCCAGGUCUCCAGCUUCUCCUUCUCCCACAACGACUCCUCGCUUCUCCCCUCUUUCCAUCUUUUCUUUACUCACUCUCCCAACUAUAUCAACUCUUCCAUGCUUUAGUUUCUCCUUCUCCUACAACGACUCCUAGCUUCUCCCCUCUCUCCAUCUCCUGUCUCCUCUAACUCUUCUCAGUUCCCCAUCGUGUCUCUAAACUGUUCCUUUCCCUCCUAUCUUCAUUUCUCCUCUCUCACUCUCUCCCAACUGUUCAAUCCUUUUUCCCCUUGCUCAGGUUCUACUGGCUCAACUGUCACCAACUGUCUUCUCUCACCCUAUUCUCUGAAUCUAAUCCCCCUCUCGCUCCUGACUCCUCCCUCUGCCCAAAUCUAGCGCUCUUGCCUAGAGAACUCCAAGGCAAACCACAACAAUGAGUAGCUGAACAACACACAACAGACUCCAUAGUUCUUUUGUGUGCUUUUAUUACAGUUUGGUGCUUUGUUUUUUUUUUUUCUGUUUCUAUGGGGGUUUUAUUUUACUUUUUUGGUUUUGGGGGUAGGUGUUGUUGUAUUGGGUUUUCGCUUCUUUUUUGAGGAAAAAAAUAAUAAAGUUGCGGGGGAAAAGAACCUGGAAAGACUUCGGGGAGGGGACUAAUAGUAUCAAAAUGUGUUUAAAUUUAAAUUUUGUUUUAAACAAUAAAAGAAUAUAACAAAAAUUAAACAUCCACUUGUCAUAUUUUCACCAUGUCUUUUGCUCCUCUGUUAUAUUUUCCCUCUAGAGACUUCCACCCAGGUGUUCAUAAAUAGUCCCUGGUCUUAUGAGGAUAUCUCCAAGAUUAAAUCUGAAUUUUGCUCGUGAUUCCAGAAUUAUCAAGACAAUGGAUGAAAGGGAUAUAUGGCAUGUUACGAUGAGGGAGCAUCUCUUUUCCACUGAAUGAGCGAGAGCUAAUGGCUACCCAAGGGGCUUCACUCCCCAGGAACCACGGAAACAUUUGAGGAGCUACACCAAAGGCUCCUGGUGCUGCUGACGCUUGCUCGGCCACUCUGUACGAAUUCCAGAAGGCACUGAGACAGAAGAAGAAUGUUCCCUGGGAACAAGAAUUCAGAAUCCCUCCAAGGACAGGCCUAGAUCUUUCUGGGAGGAAUGUUGAGAUCUAGUCUUGGGGUGGCUGUGGAUAUUAGGUUUGGGAAAACAGAGGACAAAAUGAAACCUUCGCUCUGACAGCACAGGACAAGGUGCUGAUGGAAGAUGUACGACUCCUGUGAAAGUCUCAUUUGACCCCCAAAGGGGUUGAGACCCACAGGUUGAGAACAGACACUGUAGCUGUUGGGGUUUAAAUCUCAGCCUGCGUCCAGACAGAACACACCAAGACAACAUGGUUCCUCGUGGAGAGGUUUAAUGAGAGAAGAAGAAUGGAAGAGGGGAGAAGUAAACGCCAGCCAUGAGCACGUGGGGGGGGGGUGGAUAGGGAGAGAAGGGACAAAGGGGAAGAGCAGGGAAUAGAGGAGAACAAAGGACAAGAGAGGAAUAAGAAAGAGCAAGGAGGGCAAGCAGCCCCCUGUAUAACCAGGCACACCUGGUUGUUGCUCGGCAACCAUGGGAGCGUCCCUGGCUGUUGCUGGGUAGCCGUGGAGGUGGAGCUCAGACAGAAUACCAACAGUAGCCAUUUCUAGUUUUCUUGUUUUGUUUAGGGAUUACCUGGAAGACCUUGUUAAUCUUCAAUAAAUGAAAGUUCUACAUUCCCGAUAUAUGAGAUUAAAACCACCAAUAAAGCUGCGUGUGUCCAGUGUUUAUCUC